This 253-nucleotide ribosomal RNA is filed under the name uncultured bacterium. RNAcentral's name for it is "partial 16S ribosomal RNA". It matches the Rfam family "Bacterial small subunit ribosomal RNA", at positions 524 to 776 of the family's 1533-position model. The record is from RNAcentral.
UACGGAGGGAGCUAGCGUUGUUCGGAAUUACUGGGCGUAAAGCGCGUGUAGGCGGCAGCGUGUGUCGGGCGUGAAAUCCCACGGCUCAACCGUGGAAGUGCACCCGAAACUGCGCAGCUAGAGUCCUGGAGAGGAAGGCGGAAUACUUGGUGUAGAGGUGAAAUUCGUAGAUAUCAAGUGGAACACCGGUGGCGAAGGCGGCCUUCUGGACAGUGACUGACGCUGAGACGCGAAAGCGUGGGGAGCAAACAGG